This 459-nucleotide ribosomal RNA is filed under the name uncultured bacterium. RNAcentral's name for it is "partial 16S ribosomal RNA". It matches the Rfam family "Bacterial small subunit ribosomal RNA", at positions 338 to 795 of the family's 1533-position model. The record is from RNAcentral.
CCUACGGGCGGCAGCAGUGAGGAAUAUUGGUCAAUGGGCGAGAGCCUGAACCAGCCAAGUCGCGUGAAGGACGACGGUCCUAUGGAUUGUAAACCUCUUUUGUCGGGGAACAAAAAGAGGCACGAGUACCGCAUCGAGGGUACCUGAAGAAAAAGCAUCGGCUAACUCCGUGCCAGCAGCCGCGGUAAUACGGAGGAUGCGAGCGUUAUCCGGAUUUAUUGGGGUUAAAGGGUGCGUAGGCGGGCGGUUAAGUCAGCGGUAAAAGUUCGGGGUUCAACCCCGACAAGCCGUUGAUACUGGCUGUCUAGAGAGGGCGAGAGGUAUGCGGAAUGCGUGGUGUAGCGGUGAAAUGCUUAGAUAUUACGCAGAACUCCGAUUGCGAAGGCAGCAUACCGGCGGCGAACUGACGCUGAGGCACGAAAGCGUGGGUAUCGAACAGGAUUAGAUACCCUUGUAGUC